This 253-nucleotide ribosomal RNA is filed under the name uncultured bacterium. Its description in RNAcentral is "partial 16S ribosomal RNA". It matches the Rfam family "Bacterial small subunit ribosomal RNA", at positions 524 to 776 of the family's 1533-position model. The record is from RNAcentral.
UACGUAGGGAGCAAGCGUUGUCCGGAAUCAUUGGGCGUAAAGCGUGCGUAGGUGGCCCGGUAAGUCCGCUCUGAAAGUCACAGGCUCAACCUGUGAAAGCGGGUGGAUACUGCCGGGCUAGAGUCCGGAAGAGGCGAGUGGAAUUCCUGGUGUAGCGGUGGAAUGCGCAGAUAUCAGGAGGAACACCAACGGCGAAGGCAGCUCGCUGGGACGGUACUGACACUGAGGCGCGAAAGCGUGGGGAGCGAACAGG